Molecule: long non-coding RNA, 2668 nt
Filed under: Triticum aestivum (bread wheat)
Lineage: Eukaryota; Viridiplantae; Streptophyta; Magnoliopsida; Poales; Poaceae
Description: long non-coding RNA (TAES_LNC022460)
Source: RNAcentral
GGUGCUAAAAUCUUAUGUGUCAAGGGCAUUGUGAUGGCGCGAUCCAUGUCUCCUGCUAGCGCUCGACGUCCCGUAGCCCCAAAGAGGAGGGCUCCAAGGUACUUUUGAUUGAAUGACUUAAUUUUUUCUCCUAUGUUGUGCUAGAGGACUAACUGAAACUAUGGCUCUGCUAUGUAUCAGGUUGGACAACAAGCUUCACUGGAUGAAAGCAUUUCCCUUCUAAAACAGAGUGCUGCUGAUAUGAAUGCACAAGUUAGUCUUGAUACUAAGAUGGUCAUGGAAUUGCUUGAUCUAUACUAGGUCAACAUGUCAGCCAACCACUUAAAAAUAAUCAUUUGCAUUUCUUCCUCUAAACUGUGAAACCUGACGAGUGAUGACGCAUCAGCAAUUUAGCAAUAGAAGAUGUCAGUGAACACGAGUGCCAGUCAAGAGCAAUGAAACGCUAGAUACUUUAGAGUGUAAUUUUAUAUAAGAAUAAAUAAAUGACACUUAAGUCAUUAAGCAAUUGUUGUUGAGGUAUUGUCUCACCCUUUAUCUGCUCUCUUUUAAACUGUGGAAUGCUAUGGGCUGGAGCUACAGGGGAGGAGGGAGGUAAGCGUGAAUGCAAUGAAUAUUGUUCGGAUAAAAAAUUGGGUGCAAACUGAGUACUGACGGUGAGACUUAUUCAUUUGUUUAUCCUUUUGCCCUUUUAAUCAAGAACAAUGUUCAGAGCUUACAUGGUUGCUGAAAUUUAAAUCUAUGAAAUAGAAAUAUUAAUACCAUACAAUGAUCAGUGCAGAGUAGGAUAGUUAUUGAGUUCUUCCUGAGUUUUCAUUGAGAAAAGAUUGGAACUGUGUGAUUUGUUCUGAACUUCUAAUACAAAGUAAAGAUGGUGUGCAUGGGAGGAGCUUGAAGUGGCAUUCCCAUGGAGGGAUGGCUGAUGGCAAGGCAAGUUUCUCUCAAUCCUUCUCCCCCCUUCACUCUUGAUGUCUAUCAGAAUAGAUUCACCUUUGUUCUGAUUUUUCUUUAUAUGUCCCAGGUGCUAAAAUCUUAUGUGUCAAGGGCAUUGUGAUGGCGCGAUCCAUGUCUCCUGCGAGCGCUCAGCAUCCCGGAGCCCCAAAGAGUAGGGCUUCAAGGUCCUUUUGAUUGAAUGACUUGAUUUAUUUCUCCUGUGUUGUGCUAGAGCUAACUGAAACUAUGGCUUUGCUAUGUAUCAGGCUGGACAACAAGCUUCACUGGAUGAAAGUGUUUCCCUUCUAAAACGGAGUGCUGCUGACAUGAAUGCACAAGUUAGUCUUGAUACUAAGAUUGUCAUGGAAUUGCUUGAUCUAUGCUAGGUCAAUAUGUCAGCCAACCACUUAAAAAUAAUCAAUUGCAUUUCUUCCUCUGAACUGUGAAACCUGACGAGUGAUGACGCAUCAGCAAUUUAGCAAUAGAAGAUGUCAGUGAACACGAGUACUCAGUCAAGAGCAAUGAAGCCUAGAUACUUUAGAGUGUAAUUUUAUAUAAGAAUAACUAAAUGACACUUAAGUCAUUGAGCAAUUGUUGUUGAGGUAUUGUCUCACCCUUUAUCUGCUCUGUUUUAAACUGUGUAAUGCUAUGGGCUGGAGCUACAGGGGAAGAGGGAGGUAAGCGUGGAUGCAAUGAAUAUUGUUCGGAUAAAAUAUUGUCUUCAGCCAUCUGUCUCGCUCUGGUUUUCCUGUAGUGUGGAGUUUCAACUCUCGAUCUGGUCCGCGUGUUAUUGAUUCAGCUGCCUCACCAUUGCAGGAAAUUAUUGUGUGCUUUAGAUUGGGAUGCUGAACCAGAUGAAAAAUGUCACUGCAGCUUUGAGUGCAGUCAUAGGUUUGAAUUGUAAACUGUAGCUGCUUAAAACUUUGGUAUAAAAUAAAGCCCUUACUGGUAGAUGAGGCACGUUAUUAGCAACGUUUCACAUUUUCUUACUUGCAAUACUAUGAUUGCCUGUUCAGGUCUUCCAAGACCUAAAUCAUCAUAAAUCCAGCACACACAACACCUUUUUUAAAACUUCGGUUACCCUGAUUAAGCCUCCGUUCAAUUUUCUUAUAUGGAGGGGUUAGAAAUAGUUACCUUGCUUGCUUGCUCGAAACUAAAUCUACUGAUAAACGGAAUUUUUUCAAACCACACAUGGUGUUUAGUGGGUCUCAUGAUGGAUUGGGUUGUGGUAGUAGUUCUUGGGUGCAAUAUCUAUCUUGAUAAAGCGAUCGAUCAGGGCGCAUCGGAGGCAGAAGAAGAGAAAAUGUUUCGGGUGUCUGUGGUGUUGAACAUUCACUGUUUAUGUGCUUUGUACAUGCACGACCAGUUCAGUAACUAGAUGGCCUUUUCUACUGUACUGGUGCUGCUACUUUUCACAUGCUAGCUUAUUUGAAAAGCGCCAACAGUGUGUGCCACUUGUAAACAGUCCAUGUUGAAAGAAUAGAAGCAGAAGUGUGGAGAUAAUGUAAUUGGUCAGUCAGGAAAUUCAGUCUCAAUGAGCUCAACUAAUGACAUGUGUGAGUUGAGCCUGAGGUGUUUUCCAAGUAACAACAGUAUUUUACUUUCCUUUUCAUGUUUGUGGUCGAUGGUACUUACAUGUUGUUCAGGUUAUCAAAGGACUGCAAUCAUUUACAUUUUGUAAACAAAUAAAACACUUUUAUGAAGCAUGUAGUAGACAAAUAGUGCUACUGAUAAAUGG